Panicum virgatum (switchgrass) is the source of this 1385-nucleotide RNA transcript. It is a transcript of the gene named ELMO domain-containing protein C-like, with no coding region annotated. The record is from RefSeq and is a predicted model, not a curated record. NCBI's taxonomy places the organism in Eukaryota, Viridiplantae, Streptophyta, Magnoliopsida, Poales, Poaceae. The transcript is spliced from 11 exons.
GGAAAUUACCAUGGCGUGCAAAUCGCAGAGCCGUGCCGUGCAGGUAGGGCUAGGGUGGUCGUUGGGAUCUCUGAAUCUCUGACACCGACGCUCCUCUCCGCUGACCUCGCGGAGGAGAAGGGGAGGGAGAGAGCGCGGGGACUGAGGAAUCGGGUUUCAGUUGGGCGGCGAACACCGGCGAUUAGCAAGGCAUGAUUCAUACAGCCACCUAGUAUGGCCUCAAAAGCUAUAAAAAGAAGGCCUUGCAGUUCUGAAUCUGAUCAAACAAGUGAAAAAACAAUGGAGACAACAGUAUCAGAUCCUGUAACAGAACCUCUUCUGGGAAAUGGUCCUCAUGAAGAAAAAACCAAGAGAUAUGAGCCUGCUACACGGUCAGAUUUCUGGGAUGGGACAAGAGAGGAGUGCCUUCGUUGGGCGCAUCUUCUGUCGAUUUUUAUUGCUCAAUCUGCAAGAAAGAUAGUAAAUGUUCUUUCUGAAUUUGGAUCUUUGAUUGCAAGGCUUUUUGGUUGCUCUUCUGCUCCCCAAAGUUCACAAAAUGGACAGACAGUUCCACUUAAUCUCAGUCCAUUACAGGUAGAAAGAUUGAAAUUGUUGAGACAAAGGUUAGAUGUGCCAUAUGACUGCUCCUCUGUCAAGCACCAGGAUGCUCUGAAAGAGCUUUGGAGGUUAGCUUAUCCUAACCGACAACUUCCUCCUCUAAAAUCAGAUCUGUGGAAGGAGAUGGGCUGGCAAAACUCUGACCCAUCAACAGAUUUUAGGGCAGGUGGGUUCAUGUCCUUGGAGAACCUAAUAUACUUUGCCAGAAAUUAUCCAGAUUCCUUUCAUAGGUUACUACACAAGGCCGAGGGUAAGAGAGCUAAGUGGGAGUAUCCUUUUGCAGCAGGUGGUGUAAACAUAUCUUAUAUGUUAGUUCAAAUGCUGGAUUUACAAUCAGGAAAAAUUAGUACAAAAGCUGGUGUCCACUUCGUUCAACUACUUGAAGAUGACGAGGCGGCCUUCGAUAACCUUUUUUGUGUAGCAUUUCAGGUGCUUGAUGCUCAAUGGCUUGCAAGGCGAGCUAGUUAUAUGCAAUUCAAUGAGGUUCUGAAGUCUACACGAGUUCAAUUAGAGAAAGAGCUUACUAUGGGGUGCAUUUCUAGCGUUCAAGACUUGCCAUCAUUCAGAAUGCUGAAAAGGUAGUUAUGUUUGUACUUAGCAGGAAAAGAGAUACUUUUACGCCGUGAAUAGGUUGUUUAAAUUUGCUUUCCAUUCUUUUACUGGACGAUGCCUCGAAAAGAAUUUACUUAUCAUCAAGUUUUGACAUUGGUAUGUGAUACUGGUGUAUGCUCCACCUCAUAUAUGCCUUGGGGGGAACUCGUCAUCAAGUUCCUAUUAUCUUUUAAGUA